RNAcentral lists this ribosomal RNA (225 nucleotides) under uncultured bacterium. RNAcentral's name for it is "partial 16S ribosomal RNA". It matches the Rfam family "Bacterial small subunit ribosomal RNA", at positions 943 to 1167 of the family's 1533-position model. The record is from RNAcentral.
GGUUUAAUUCGAUGAUACGCGAGGAACCUUACCCGGGCAUUGAACUGCAGGAGAACGAUUCAGAGAUGAUGAGGUCCUUCGGGACUCCUGUGGAGGUGCUGCAUGGUUGUCGUCAGCUCGUGCCGUGAGGUGUCGGCUUAAGUGCCAUAACGAGCGCAACCCCUCUCCGUAGUUGCCAUCGGGUGAUGCCGGGCACUCUGCGGACACUGCCACCGUAAGGUGUGA